RNAcentral lists this ribosomal RNA (398 nucleotides) under uncultured bacterium. RNAcentral describes it as "bacterial SSU rRNA". It matches the Rfam family "Bacterial small subunit ribosomal RNA", at positions 362 to 776 of the family's 1533-position model. The record is from RNAcentral.
UAUUGCACAAUGGGGGAAACCCUGAUGCAGCAACGCCGCGUGAGUGAAGAAGUAUUUCGGUAUGUAAAGCUCUAUCAGCAGGGAAGAAGAAAGACGGUACCUGACUAAGAAGCCCCGGCUACCUACGUGCCAGCAGCCGCGGUAAUACGUAGGGGGCAAGCGUUAUCCGGAUUUACUGGGUGUAAAGGGAGCGUAGACGGCUGUGCAAGUCUGAAGUGAAAGCCCGUGGCUCAACCGCGGAACUGCUUUGGAAACUGUAUAGCUUGAGUACUGGAGAGGCAGGCGGAAUUCCUAGUGUAGCGGUGAAAUGCGUAGAUAUUAGGAGGAACACCAGUGGCGAAGGCGACUUUCUGGACCGUAACUGACGUUGAGGCACGAAAGUGUGGGGAGCAAACAGG